This 330-nucleotide ribosomal RNA is filed under the name uncultured bacterium. RNAcentral's name for it is "bacterial SSU rRNA". It matches the Rfam family "Bacterial small subunit ribosomal RNA", at positions 28 to 352 of the family's 1533-position model. The record is from RNAcentral.
GACGAACGCUGGCGGCGUGCUUAACACAUGCAAGUCGAGGGGCAUCAGGUGUAGCAAUACAUGCUGGCGACCGGCGCACGGGUGCGUAACACGUAUGAAACCUACCCAUAACAUGGGGAUAGCCCGAAGAAAUUCGGAUUAAUACCCAAUAGUACUAUUUGAGGGCAUCUGAAGAUAGUUAAAGAUUUAUCGGUUAUGGAAGGUCAUGCGUCUAAUUAGCAGUUGGUGAGGUAAUGGCUCACCAAGGCGACGAUCAGUAGGGGGACCUGGAGAGGGUGACUCCCCCACACUGGUACUGAGAUACGGACCAGACUCCGUACGGGAGGCAGC